This 13089-nucleotide long non-coding RNA is filed under the name Olea europaea (common olive). RNAcentral describes it as "long non-coding RNA (OEUR_LNC002231)". The record is from RNAcentral. Lineage: Eukaryota; Viridiplantae; Streptophyta; Magnoliopsida; Lamiales; Oleaceae.
AUUCAUUUCUACUAUUAUUCCAGUAUUUUUAUCCAAGAAUUCUCUUCUUCACAAAGAGGUCCACAAAUUCCAACUUUGUGUUUACAGCUUUUUUUGUCUCUUCGAUCUUUACCAGUAGUUUUCUUCCAACCAUACACCUCCUUGCCGGAAGCUACAGAUCAGAACCGAAACUUGAGGCAACCGACGAGUGUUCAUAGUCCGAUUUUAUUGCCGUUUUUGGUUUUGGGACCGAAGCAAAGCAACCCUACCGCCUUGGGUAUGCUACUUUUGUUAUUUUUCCAUUAAAAUAAUGUAGUUUCAUUUAUUCAUCUUAUUAGUUUCUUAUCAAGAGGCACUUGUUCGUUAAAUUUUUGUUAUUUUUCUUGGUUUUUGUUUAAUUUUUUCGCAGGAGCAGGCCUUUAUAUGGGAUAAAGAAGGUAACUCCUUUUCAUUUCUUUUUCUUGUUUGAAGUAUGUCUCUAAUACUUUGUGUUGCUUAUUAUACACUCGAGUAGAAAAGGGCUUUUUUGUGUUGGGGUGGGGAUGGUUGUGGGCAAAGAUUUCUUAUCCCAAAAAUAAUUUUUGGGUAAUGCUAAUAAUAGAGAGCAAUUGAAAUUUGUUGAAAAUUGAUCAAUAAGGGUAUGAAUCAUAUUAGCAUUACUGCCUAUUAUCACCAUAUCAUCAACGUAAAACAGCAAAUAGAUGACACCAUGAGAGCCAUUAUAAACAAAUAGGAAUGAGUCAGCCUGACUAGCAACAAAGUCAAGGCUGAACAAAGAGAAGCUGAACCUUUGAAACCAUGCCCUUGGAGCCUGUUUAAGAUCAUAGAGAGCUCGCUGCAUGCGACAUACAUGAGUGGGUAUUGUCGUAUUGAGAAUUAACAUAACCUGGAGGUUGUUCUUUUUUCUUCUUUUGAAAGAUGGCCAUGCAAGAUAACAUUUUUAAUGUCAAGCUGGUGAAGAUGCCAAUUGUGCAUAGCAGUAGAAGAAAGGAUUAUUUGAACUGUGGCACGACGAACAAUCGGACUGAAAAUCUUUUCAAAGUUGAUGUCAUGUUUUUGAUAAAAUCUCUGUGCUACUGGACGAGCUUUAUGAUGUUCUAUAGUACCAUCUGCAUGAAAUUUAAUUUUAAAAAUCCAAUGACAACCCACAACAUUAUGAAUAGAAGGUCAAGGUACCAGUCGCCAAGUGUUAUUUUGCCUGAGAGCUACUAUUUCAUUAUCUAUUGUAGUAAGCCAUUCCUGAUGUUUUAAGGCUGAUUUAAAAUCCCGUAGCUCUUUAAUAGCAAGAUGUAUCUGAAACCAUGGAGGAGAUGACAAAGUAAUUAAGGAAUGAAUAUUAACAAGCUUAACAAUAUCAUUCCUUAUAUGAGUAAUCAUAGGAUGUGGAGUUGGUGGCGAUAUAAUGAGGAAGAAUUAAGUGGAAUGACAUCUGAAGCAGUCAGAGACUCGGACGGAGGAACGUCAGAUGCUGCUGAAGGAUGCACAGAAUCGAGAAGAAGAUAAAACGUACAAUCAUGGUUAGCACAUGGGAUACACUGAGAAAAUGCCUUGUGAUACUUCGAAGUCAUAUCUGGGGGUGCAUUUUGUGCACAAUACAAAGAAUGAUUAAUAGGAUCAAAAAAAGGGGACACAAUUAGUGAAAACAUGAGAUGGAAGAGUGGAGUAUUUGUAAGGAAAAUGAUCCUUAAAAAAUUGCACAUGACGAGGGAUAUAAAUAUGGUAAGAUUUUGUAUCUAAACAAUGAGAACAUUUUGCAGUGAACUGUAGCCUAAAAAUACGCAUGGGAAAGUAGAGAGUUGUGAGGAAUAUAGUCACGAAGAAAAGGAAAACAUAAAUAUCCAAAAGUUUGGAGAGAGGAGUAAGAAUGAACUUUAUCAUACAAUACUUCAUGAGGUGUCUUGCCACCAAGAAUCGGUGAUGGGAGCCGAUUGAUGAGAUAACAAGCUGUAGAGAAAGACUCAACCCACAAUUUUAAAGGAACAUGAGAAUGAAAGAGCAAGAUGAGUCUGGUUUCACUGAUAUGCCUAUGUUUACGCUCGGCAAUGCCAUUUUCCUUUGGGUGUAAGGAUAACAUAUGCGUUGAACUAUAUCACAUCAUGAAGAUAAGAAGUGAAUUUGUUAUUUGUGAACUCUAUUCCAUAAUUACAUUAGAAUGAUUUUAUGCUCCUAUCAAAUUGGUUUUUGACACAAAUGACAAAACGAACAAAAAUAUCAAAGAAAUAUGAUUUGAACUUGAGAGAAAAAUGUUGGAUAAUUUAGUUCUUUAAAUUACCGGAUCUUUCAUGUCAAAUCAUCAAGAAAUAUAAGAAUUAAAGCGGAAGCAUACCUGAAUCAGAUAUGGUUAAUGCAAUAGGAAUUUCGCGGUAUGGUCUUCCAAAUCUACACGCAGUCUCAUUUUCCUCUCUGUGAUGGGAUGCAGUAGAGAAUGAAUAAUACGUUGCCUGUGAUCUGGGGACCAUAACCUAUUUAUAUAGGGAUAUCCUUUGACCUAAUUUGGCCAUCAUAGAAUUAGGAUUUGGGCCCAGUCUCUACACAUAUGUAAAUCCAUACUUUAAUUGGAUACAUUAAAGCCAAAAAUCGAAGCCUUUUUUAGAUCACUUUAAUUGGGCUCAACCGAAUUCGAUAGCCUAUAAUUUAACACACAAUUAUUCACACAUACAAGUCCAUAUUUAAUUAAAAAUCCUUACAAUCUCCCACUUGGGCUGGUGGAUCUCCUUCUAUCUUGGCAUCCUGCGAAAUCGAAAUCAGAAUAACCAAUGAUCUCCAACUUAUCUGAUCUCCUGUAUGUGAGCAUGUAGUCUUUUGUUCUCUGUAAAUACCGCAUGACCCGUUAGGCUGCUUUCCAAUGAUCCAUUCCCGGGUUACUUAAAUAUCUCCCUAGCAUCCCAACGAUGUACGCUAUAUUCAGACGCGUACAAACUUGAGCAUACAUCAGACUCCCUAUAGCUGAGGAAUAAGGAAUCUUCUGCAUUUCUUUAAUUUCUGAGUCAUUUUUAGGGCACUGACUUAAGCUGAACUUGUCUCCUUUAGCCACAGGAGUGUCACAUGGUUUACAAUUUUGCAUGCUAUAUCUUUGAAGUACCUUUUCGAUACAGCUCUUUUGUGAUAACCCAAGAAUGCCUUGAGAACGAUCUUGGUGUAUCUGAAUUCCUAAUACAAAAGAGGCAUCACCAAGAUCUUUCAUCUCAAAAUUCUUUGCUAGAAAUCUCUUGGUUUCAUGCAAUAUGCCAUCGACAUAUAAAACCAGAAAAAUAUAUUUGCUCCCACUGAACUUGUGGUAUAUACAAUCAUCAACCAAAUUCAUCUCAAAAUCAAAUAAGAUGAUCACAUGAUGAAACUUGUAAUACCAUUGACGAGAUGCAUGUUUGAGUCCAUAGAUGGAUUUCUUUAAUUUACAAACCAUUUGCUUUGCAUCGUCCGAUACAAAGUUUUCUGGUUUACCAUAUAAAUUGUUUCAUCAAUGUCACCAUUGAGAAACGCUGUCUUAACAUCCAUCUGAUGUAACUCAAGAUCGAAAUGCGCUACCAAUGCCAUUAUAGUCCUGAAAGAGUCUUUCGAAGAAAUCGGAGAGAAAGUCUCGUUAUAAUCGAUGCCUUCUUUCUGUGUAAAGCCUUUUGCGACAAGACGAGCUUUAUACCUCUCUACAUCACCUUUCGAAUCCCUCUUGGUCUUAAAUAUCCAUUUGCAACCAAUGGGUUUCGCACCUUCAGGCAAUGGAACGAGGUCCCAUACGUCAUUGUUCUUCAUGGACUUUAUCUCUUCAUUCAUAGUAUCGAGCCACUUUUGAGAGUUAGAACUUUCCAUGGCUUGACGGAAGUUGAUCGGAUCAUCUUCCACCAUUCCAACGUCAAUUUCAUGUUCUUGAAGAAAUACGAUGUAAUCAUUCGAAACUGCACUUCUCCUCUCUCUAAUGGAUCUUCUUAAUGGCAUUGGUUCUUGAGGGUGUAGAGUUUGUUCUUCUGGAACAAUUUGUUGAUCUUGGAAGGGAGGUAUGACAUUGUCUUAGUCCAGAGUUGUUUCUUGAACAAUAUUAGGGAUAGAAACCUGAUCAUUGUCAAUGACAAUUGGAGGAAUUUCAACAUAUUCCUCCUCAAAGAAAAAGCCUGUAACCUUUUCUCCCCCCGCAAACUCAAUAUCCUAAAAAAACCUAGCAUUUCCUAUCUUGAAAAUUGCCUUAGUUGUGGGAUCAUAAAAUUUGUAACCCCUGGACCUUUCAAAAUAUCCAAUGAAAUAGCAACUGAUGGUCCUUGUGUCCAGUUUCUUUUCAUUUGGCUUAUAGGGCCUUGCCUCAGUUGGACACCCCCAAAUAUGUAUAUGCUUCAAACUAGGCUUCUUGCCCGUCCAAAACUCAUAUGGGGUUUUAUCAGUGGCCUUAGUUGGAACUCUAUUGAGUAUAUAAGUUGCAGUCUUUAAUGCUUCACCCCAGAGAGAUUCUGGUAAGGUAGAAUGACUAGUCAUACUCCUCACCAUGUCCUUAAGCGUUCCGUUUCGUCUUUCAGCAACACCAUUCAUAGUGGGCGAACUCGGCAUAGUGUACUGUGGGACGAUACAACAUUCCUCUAGGAAUUUAGCAAACGGUCCUGGACGCUAUUCACCUGAACCGUUAUAUCUGCCAUAGUAUUCACCCCCACGGUCAGAUCUGACGCUUUUAAGCCUUUUGCCGAGUUGGUUCUCAACUUCAGCUUUAUAGUUUUUGAACACAUCCAGUUACUGUGAUUUUUCAUGAACGAGAUAUAUGUAGCCAUAUCUUGAAAAGUCGUCUAUGAACGUUAUAAAAUAUUGUUGACCAUUCCAAGAACUCGUAGGGACUGGUCCACAAAUAUCCGUAUGUAUAAGUUCUAAGACGUCCGAAAUCCUAUUGGCUUGAAAUCUCAUUUUAUUGGUUUGUUUUCCCUUUAUACAGUUGACACACAAAUCAUAAUAUGUGAAGUCAAGAGGGACGAGAAUCCCGUCAAACACAAGUCUCUCAAUUCUCCUUUUGGAGAUGUGACCUAAUCUCUUGUGUCACAACGAGGCAGAAUUCUCGUCGUUUAAUUUUCGCUUCACACCUCGAGUACUUACAUGCAAGGUUUCAUUAUAAGAAACAAUUGUAUCAAUUGAAUAAAGAUUAUCGUAACCUGAUAAAGAACUGGAACCAACCAAUUUUGAAUCAUGAAACAAACUAAAUUUUUCAUUUCCAAAAGAAUAAGUAUAACCAAAUUUGUCUAAAACAAAAAUAGAAAUCAAAUUCUGUCUAAAAGACGAUACAAUAAAUGUCUCAACAAGAUCCAAAUAAAAUCCAUUCUUUAACAAUAAUCUAAAUUUUCCUAUUGCCUCUACUUUCAUUCUAUUGCCGUCACCAGCAUAGAUGUAUCUUUCACCAUCACUUGAUUUUCGGCAACUCAGGCAAUCUUGCAUAGACAUACUGAUGUGAGUUAUUGCACCAGAAUCUAUCCACCGUGUAUGUCUAGGUACCGAAGUUAAAUUAACCUCAGAACAAACCAAAUGAAGAAGAGUACCUUUCUUUACACGCCAUGCGUGGUAAUUGGUGCAAUUCUUCUUCUUAUGACCUGCAGCUCCACAGAAGAAACAACCGCCUUCAGUUGGUUCCUUAUACUGUUUCUUUUGUGGUGUCGUACCCGCAGCUUCCUUAUUAAUCUUCAUUUUCUUGUUGCUUUUAUCCUUAGAGGUGGUGGCUAAAUAAACACUUUCUGUCUUUUCAUGCUUCAGUCUUUCUUCUUUCUGGACACAGUGUGAGAUGAGCUCAUUAAGGGACCAUGAGUCCUUUUGACAGUUAUAGCUCACCUUGAAUUGACUGAAAUUUGCCGGAAGGGAUACCAGAACCAAGUGCACCAACAAGUCUUCAGAUAAAUUUAACUUGAGUGCCUUUAGUUUUGAAGCAAUGUGAGACAUUUCCAUAAUGUACUCCCGAAUGUUUCCUUUCCCUUUAUACCUCAUUGAGACAAGAUUUGCCAAAAGUGUACUUGUUUUAGCCUUUUCAUUCUUGGCAAACCUCUUCUCAAGGUCCUCAAAGAAACCCUUAGCCGUAGUCACCUUAUCGGACAUAGUGCCCCGGAAUACUUCUCGAAUAGCACGCUUCAUGACCAUUAAGCUUAUGCGGUUCGAUCGUUCCCACUUUUUCAUCUCCCGCUUGUCAUCAGAGGUACUCUUAUCAGUAAGUGCAGUAGGUUGAUCGACCCGUAAAGUAAGGUCUAGGUCCAUGACUCCGAGACCAAUCAUAACGUUCUCUUGCCAUGCCCUGAACUUUGUGCCAUUUAACAUUAGAAUAGAAUUGAUGCUAGCAGAGAUAUUAAUAGCAGAACCUGAAAUUGAAUUAGAGAACAUUUAUUAUGAAUAGCUCACAUAAUAUCUUUAAUAUGCAAAUAAUAAUAAUCUCAAAUAGUGGUAGGGCCCAUCACAAGAUACCAAGCACAACAUCAAUAUCCAGUCUUUGGAUAAAAAAAUUGACUUGUAAGCGGCACUCUUGGUGUAGUGAUCAAACAUUGACGAUAAAACAAUGUGUCAAUCAAUAAACCUUUCUUUGGACCGAUUUAUUGAUGACACAUUAAACCAAAUAAUCGUCACACGUUUAUCACCACAGGUGCACGUGUAUUCGGCUAAAUAUUGACCUUUCUUUGGGCCGAUCAAUAUUCCGAUGAAUAACACAUGCACAAACACUUUUUAACAUUCUAAGUUAGUCAAUUUUCACAAGAGAGGUUGCUUUGGCAACAUGCUGCUUCAAUUAACUAACUUUCGAAUAUUAUAUCUCUUAAAAGAGUUUUUAGUACCAAAAUUUGAGCAAGAGAAUCACCAAUUUUGCAUAUUUUGAUUAGUUUUAAACUUUAGGGGCCUUAGGAUUAAUAAUUCAAAACUUUAGGGGGGCAAAAUUAAUUAAUUCCAAACUUUAGGGGUUGAAAUUAAUGAACUUGAAACUUUAGGGACCAAAAUUAAUUAAUUCAAUACUUUAGAGGAUCAAUUAAAACAAAUUUUAAAACUUUAGGGGCCAAAAUUGACCAAUUCAAAACUUGAGGGAUCAAAUUUUAAAAAUUUGAAACUUUAGGGGUCAAUUUGAAUUAAUUAUGAACUUAGGGGGCAAAUUUGAACUAGUAAUUAAAGUUUGAGGGCUUUAAUUAUAAAUUCAGAACUUUAAUGGUCCGAAUUAAUUAAUUUUAAAUCUUAGGGACUGAAUUAUUAAAUCUGAAACUUAAAGGCCCAAAUCUCAAUAUAACUUAAAGGUUAGGGACUGAAACCUUAAAUUUAUAACCCUAACCCUAAUUGCAACCAGGGGCCUCAACUUAUCUAAUUUACAGAAGAGGCCCUCGUCCCAAAAUUCAGCCAAAAAACCAGAAAACCCUAAAAGAAAAAUUUUUCUUCUUUUUGGCGCCCGUCGGCGUCGCCUGAAGCAAUGGCGCCGGCGUGGGCGCCACAGCAUCUGUGGCGGCAAGGCCGUCGGCGAAUUCAAUUUUUUUUUUUUAAAUCUGUACUAAAAUCUGAAUUCCAAAUCUGAAUUUUCUAAACUGAAUCAAUCCGAAUGAAAAUAACAAAAUUAUACCGCAAAAAUUUUCAAAUUUAACAAAACAUAUAAUCAAAAAUUGUUAAAUCUGAAAAUUUCAAAAUAUAUUGCAAGAACCAAACUAAGCAUACCUGAAUCAGACAUGGUUAAUGCAAUAGGAAUGUCGCGGAAUGGUCUUCCAAAUCUACACGCAGUCUCCUUUUCUUCUCUGUGAUGGGAUGCAGUAGAAAAUGAAUAAUACGUUGCCUGUGAUUUGGAGACCAAAACCUAUUUAUAUAGGGAUUCCCUUUGACCUAAUUCGGCCCAUCAUAGAAUUAGGAUUUGGGCCCGGUCUCUACACAUAUGUAAACUCAUACUUUAAUUGGAUACAUUAAAGCCAAAAAUCGAAGCCUUUUUUAGAUCACUUUAAUUGGGUUCAACCGAAUUCGAUAGCCUAUAAUUUAACACAUACCUGAAUCAGACAUGGUUAAUACAAUAGGAAUUUCGCGAAAUGGUCUUCCAAAUCUACACGCAGUCUCCUUUUCUUCUCUGUGAUGGGAUGCAGUAGAAAAUGAAUAAUACGUUGCCUGUGAUCUGGAGACCAAAACUUAUUUAUAUAGGGAUGCCCUUUGACCUAAUUCGGCCCAUCAUAGAAUUAGGAUUUGGGCUCGGUCUCUACACAUAUGUAAACCCAUACUUUAAUUGGAUACAUUAAAGCCAAAAAUCGAAGCCUUUUUUAGAUCACUUUAAUUGGGUUCAACCGAAUUCGAUAGCCUAUAAUUUAACGCACAAUUAUUCACACAUACAAGUCCAUAUUUAAUUAAAAAUCCUUACAAAAAAAUCCAACUAAAAUGAGAGAUCAUCAAUCAAGACAUAAUAACAUUUAAAUCUUGACGGAGAUGUAAUUGUAGACGAACCCCACAAGUCAUGAUGAUGUCUUUCAAAUAAAAAAGAGCAAUGUUAAUCUAAAUUAGAAAAAACCAAAACAAGGAUCAAUAUUAAACUCGUUCUUAUUAGAAAAUAAAAUAGCACCAUGCUUAUGUAAAGAUGACAAAAUCCUAAUAGAAGGAAGUCCUAAACGUGCAUGCCAAAUGACAGAGGUGGCACAAUUAUAACAAAGAGCAGCAGAAGACAAAAAGUUUGCAUGGGCAUGAUCAAGCACAUGGAGGCCUUUUUCACAUCAAUCUUCCCACCACCGCUCUUUUUGCCAGAGCCUGUAUAACAAAGCCAGUAGAAGAAAGUGUUAUUGGAAAAUUGUUCUCUUGAGUAAACUUAAUGAUGAAAAUAAGAUUUUUGGUAAUGCCAGGAACAAGAAGAACAUUAGUCAUAGGUAACGAAUGGGAAGCAACAAUAGACCAAAUAGACUCAACAAGAGAUAUAGGUAAAGAAUGACCAUUACCAACAAACACCUUUUCAAUACCAUUGUAAGGAAUGGAGGAGUCAAAAGUCGAUGCAGCAUUAGUCAUAUGUGAUGUUGACCCUUUACCUGUGUACCACUAGUGUCGAGAGAGUCUGUAAGAGAGGUCUCUGAAAAAGCUUCAAUGGGACCACCAUCUUUAGCCUUUUUAGCAACUUACCAAGUUUAUAACAUUUCUUGGCUGUGUGAUUAUCUUUUCGACACCAUUGACAUGCAACAGCAGCAGAUUUGGAAGAGUUGCAACGGUCCACUUUGGGAGAGGUGUAAUGUUUGUUUCGACUAGAAGAAAUGGUGGAAGAGCCACGGUUAGAAAUGAGGGCAAAUUGCUGUUGAGCUUCACCAUGAAUGGAUUGAGAGAAGAGCUCAUGGCUAAGUGCUUGCGGGGACCAUGUUGGCGAAGGAAGGCAGUGGACGUUGUGACAGUAUAGUGGUGGAAAAAAAUUUAAAAUCAGGGCUAAGAUCCCCAAGAAACCAAUGUACUAUAACUAUAUCAUCAAGAAACUUUCCAAUGGCAAUAAAUUUAUCACAGAGAAAACGAAAAGAGUGAGUAUAUUCAGUCACACUACGAGAGCCAUGCUGGAGCAAUUGAAGUUUGUCUAGCUGAAUCUCACGUGUCUUGGAGCUGUGAGAAUAUGACGUUUCGAGGGUCAACCAAGCAUAACUGGAAAUAGCACAAUUGACAAUCUCGGCCAUACAGUCCUCGGACAUGGGAAGCAUAAAUGAGGCUAAGCAGCAUACGAUCUUGAGUACGCCAUUUCUUGUAGGCCUGAUUUGGAACCUAGCCAAUACCUUCGAUAAUAACAGGGGAAGGUGUAAUGGAUGAUCCGUCUAAAAAAUCUUAGGGACUGAAUUAUUAAAUCUGAAACUUAAAGGCCCAAAUCUCAAUAUAACUUAAAGGUUAGGGACUGAAACCUUAAAUUUAUAACCCUAACCCUAAUUGCAACCAGGGGCCUCAACUUAUCUAAUUUACAGAAGAGGCCCUCGUCCCAAAAUUCAGCCAAAAAACCAGAAAACCCUAAAAGAAAAAUUUUUCUUCUUUUUGGCGCCCGUCGGCGCCGCCUGAAGCAAUGGCGCCGGCGUGGGCGCCGCAGCAUCUGUGGCGGCAAGGUCGUCGGCGAAUUCAAUUUUUUUUUUUUUUUAAAUCUGUACUAAAAUCUGAAUUCCAAAUCUGAAUUUUCUAAACUGAAUCAAUCCGAAUGAAAAUAACAAAAUUAUACCGCAAAAAUUUUCAAAUUUAACAAAACAUAUAAUCAAAAAUUGUUAAAUCUGAAAAUUUCAAAAUAUAUUGCAAGAACCAAACUAAAACCUUUAAUUCUCAAUGAUUCAACAUGAAGAGGCUCUGAUACCACUUGUUGGAUAAUUUAGUUCUUUAAAUUACCAGAUCUUUCAUGUUAAAUCAUCAAGAAAUAUAAGAAUUAAAACGGAAACAUACCUGAAUCAGACAUGGUUAAUACAAUAGGAAUUUCGCGAAAUGGUCUUCCAAAUCUACACGCAGUCUCCUUUUCUUCUCUGUGAUGGGAUGCAGUAGAAAAUGAAUAAUACGUUGCCUGUGAUCUGGAGACCAAAACUUAUUUAUAUAGGGAUGCCCUUUGACCUAAUUCGGCCCAUCAUAGAAUUAGGAUUUGGGCUCGGUCUCUACACAUAUGUAAACCCAUACUUUAAUUGGAUACAUUAAAGCCAAAAAUCGAAGCCUUUUUUAGAUCACUUUAAUUGGGUUCAACCGAAUUCGAUAGCCUAUAAUUUAACGCACAAUUAUUCACACAUACAAGUCCAUAUUUAAUUAAAAAUCCUUACAAAAAAAUCCAACUAAAAUGAGAGAUCAUCAAUCAAGACAUAAUAACAUUUAAAUCUUGACGGAGAUGUAAUUGUAGACGAACCCCACAAGUCAUGAUGAUGUCUUUCAAAUAAAAAAGAGCAAUGUCAAUCUAAAUUAGAAAAAACCAAAACAAGGAUCAAUAUUAAACUCGUUCUUAUUAGAAAAUAAAAUAGCACCAUGCUUAUGUAAAGAUGACAAAAUCCUAAUAGAAGGAAGUCCUAAACGUGCAUGCCAAAUGACAGAGGUGGCACAAUUAUAACAAAGAGCAGCAGAAGACAAAAAGUUUGCAUGGGCAUGAUCAAGCACAUGGAGGCCUUUUUCACAUCAAUCGAUUCCCACCACCGCUCUUUUUGCCAGAGCCUGUAUAACAAAGCCAGUAGAAGAAAAUGUUAUUGGAAAAUUGUUCUCUUGAGUAAACUUAAUGAUGAAAAUAAGAUUUUUGGUAAUGCCAGGAACAAGAAGAACAUUAGUCAUAGGUAACGAAUGGGAAGCAACAAUAGACCAAAUAGAAUCAACAAGAGAUAUAGGUAAAGAAUGACCAUUACCAACAAACACCUUUUCAAUACCAUUGUAAGGAAUGGAGGAGUCAAAAGUCGAUGCAGCAUUAGUCAUAUGUGAUGUUGACCCUUUACCUGUGUACCACUAGUGUCGAGAGAGUGUGUAAGAGAGGUCUCUGAAAAAGCUUCAAUGGGACCACCAUCUUUAGCCUUUUUAGCAACUUACCAAGUUUAUAACAUUUCUUGGCUGUGUGAUUAUCUUUUCGACACCAUUGACAUGCAACAGCAGCAGAUUUGGAAGAGUUACAACGGUCCACUUUGGGAGAGAUGUAAUGUUUGUUUCGACUAGAAGAAAUGGUGGAAGAGCCACGGUUAGAAAUGAGGGCAAAUUGCUGUUGAGCUUCACCAUGAAUGGAUUGAGAGAAGAGCUCAUGGCUAAGUGCUUGCGGGGACCAUGUUGGCGAAGGAAGGCAGUGGACGUUGUGACAGUAUAGUGGUGGAAAAAAAUUUAAAAUCAGGGCUAAGAUCCCCAAGAAACCAAUGUACUAUAACUAUAUCAUCAAGAAACUUUCCAAUGGCAAUAAAUUUAUCACAGAGAAAACGAAAAGAGUGAGUAUAUUCAGUCACACUACGAGAGCCAUGCUGGAGCAAUUGAAGUUUGUCUAGCUGAAUCUCACGUGUCUUGGAGCUGUGAGAAUAUGACGUUUCGAGGGUCAACCAAGCAUAACUGGAAAUAGCACAAUUGACAAUCUCGGCCAUACAGUCCUCGGACAUGGGAAGCAUAAAUGAGGCUAAGCAACAUACGAUCUUGAGUACGCCAUUUCUUGUAGGCCUGAUUUGGAACCUAGCCAAUACCUUCGAUAAUAACAGGAGAAGGUGUAAUGGAUGAUCCGUCUAAGAAGCCCACAAGAUCUUGGCUUUCAAGAAGGGAAACAAACUGAUUGCGCCACAAAAGAAAAUUGGACGUAGUGAGUUUGAUGGUCACUAUAUGGAUCGUCGUAUUGAGUGGAAGCAUACUAGAACUAGAGCUAGAAUCAGCCAUGGAAAAAAAAAAAAAAAAGGUGUGAACCAUGGAGCACUGAUACAAUGAAAAAGAAUCUCUCAAUGUUAUUAAUGAAUACAUAGGUAGUGUAUUUAUACAUAAAAUACAGUAUGCAUCACUUUGAGCUCCAAUUUCCCACUGGAGCAUCACUUUUGGCAAAUAAAUAUAUAAUUUCGAUAUUCUCACGAAGGAGAGGCAAAUCAAUCUUGACCUUCAAAAAAAAAAAAACAAAUGUAUCCCACUCAAAAUUUAUGUCAAAAUCAGUCCUUCAAUCCAUUUUUUCCAACAUCAACCAUCCAAUCUUCACUAUGUUCAUAGACAAGCAGUUAACUGUGUUUGCCUCUAAUAUAUCCUUCUGUGCAUCGGGAAGCGUAAAAAAGGACCACUUGCCAAUGCAAAACUAAAGAAAAUGGAAAGAAGAAGUUGUCUUAAUAAUAAUAAGUUGUGUGUUUAAUUCACUCGUAAAUGAGUAUUAAUUAUUUUUUCUAAAAAUUGUAAAAGAAAUAGUAUACAUUAUUUUUUAACAUUAGAAUCUAACUCGGCAAUUUUCGUUGUACGAGAUUCCUGAGAAAUAGGAUCAAUUUGAUCAAACAAUUUAUUGAUAAAAGCAAUAAAACCAACUUUGCCAUAACCCUUUCCAAACAAGAAAGGUUAAAUGCAACAUGAUAUUAAGGCAAUAAGAGUAAUCAAAGUUCGUCAUGCGAAUCUAAUUGAUCAGAAAAUGAAGGAAAUUCGAUUUCAGAACCACAUCUUUCAUGUGGGAAAACUGGACAUUUAAUGAAAUUGGAUGCUGAGGUAUUGACACACAGGUAAACUUGGAAUAGCUGAUUAUUCCCUGAUGAAUCCACAUUGCAUUCUAUGGACGGA